Molecule: long non-coding RNA, 970 nt
Filed under: Citrus x clementina
Lineage: Eukaryota; Viridiplantae; Streptophyta; Magnoliopsida; Sapindales; Rutaceae
Description: Citrus clementina (C. clementina) long non-coding RNA (CCLE_LNC004621)
Source: RNAcentral
AUUAUUAUAAUUCUUUGAUGUAUAAAUGGAAUAACUUUAUAUAUAAUUCCAUGAUAGGAAAAUUAAAGAAAAAAUGAAAUAAAGACGUAUUACAUCUAAUGAUAUCGACUAGAGAGUGGAGAAGGUAAAACAAUGUUGGUUAUUGCUACUGUGGUGGCAUGAUGAGCAGCUGGCAUUGGGUGCUAUUGUGACUGCAUGUAAGUGAAGGACAACCAACAAGGAGUGAGCGGUAGCCGGCAAGUGCCGCUUUUUGCUAAUGGAGGCUGGACCACUGAAGUCGUCAUAGAGGAGGUGGGAGAGUGGUGGUGGUUGUUGGAUCAUAUUCAGUGGAGACUAGAGACUUUGGCGUGUGGAGGAUGGCGAUUGAGUUGUGUUUAUCAUUUAGGUUUUUUUUUUAAUAUUGGUAUUACAAUCAAACUAUUAUUGAUAUUAUAUUAGGUUACUAUUUUUUUUUUGAAUUGAAAUUUCAUUAAACUUAAGAUAUUGUCAACAUUUGACAUAACCACGGAGGUGGAACAAGCCUCCACUCUCCAGGAUCUGACAUAGAACCUCCCACCCUAGCAAUUGUAUGGGCAGCGACAUUCGCAUAUCGUCGAACAAAGGAGAAUCUUACUUCUCCAACUAGUUUAACUAAUUCUUGACAGUCCUCAAUAAUUAAACCAAAACCAUUAGGACUAGGAGUUUGAGUAAUUAAAGCAGAGUACACGUUCAAACAAUCUAUUUCGAGAAUAACUUUAGAGAACUGCAGAAUUUUCAGCCAGCUAAGAGCUUCACGAACAGCCAAAGCUUCUGCCUCUCGGGGAUGAACUGAACCAAGAAAGCGUUGACACUUAGCUGCCACAAAAGUACCUCCAGAAUCUCUUAUUAUUAGGUUACUAUUAAUAUUUACAAAUCAGACUAUUACUGAAAUAAGGCUCCGUUUGAUACAACUUUUCAAGUAUAACUUAUUUAAGUAGAUAUUUUGGUAGUA